Molecule: ribosomal RNA, 1105 nt
Filed under: Salmonella enterica
Lineage: Bacteria; Pseudomonadati; Pseudomonadota; Gammaproteobacteria; Enterobacterales; Enterobacteriaceae
Description: partial 23S ribosomal RNA
Rfam family: Bacterial large subunit ribosomal RNA
Source: RNAcentral
CGUAUCACCCAAGACAACUUUACGGAGUUGACGAUUGACGGAGCGAAGCGACGUCAAAGCGUUCAUUAAAGUCGAGUUGGCUUAGGGAUACGUUCGUUGGGUAGGGGAGCGUUCUGUAAGCCUGUGAAGGUGUGUCGUGAGGCAUGCUGGAGGUAUCAGAAGUGCGAAUGCUGACAUAAGUAACGAUAAAGCGGGUGAAAAGCCCGCUCGCCGGAAGACCAAGGGUUCCUGUCCAACGUUAAUCGGGGCAGGGUGAGUCGACCCCUAAGGCGAGGCCGAAAGGCGUAGUCGAUGGGAAACGGGUUAAUAUUCCCGUACUUGGUGUUACUGCGAAGGGGGGACGGAGAAGGCUAUGUUGGCCGGGCGACGGUUGUCCCGGUUUAAGCGUGUAGGUGUGUGUUCCAGGUAAAUCCGGUUCACUUUAACACUGAGGCGUGACGACGAGGCACUACGGUGCUGAAGCAACAAAUGCCCUGCUUCCAGGAAAAGCCUCUAAGCAUCAGGUAACACGAAAUCGUACCCCAAACCGACACAGGUGGUCAGGUAGAGAAUACCAAGGCGCUUGAGAGAACUCGGGUGAAGGAACUAGGCAAAAUGGUGCCGUAACUUCGGGAGAAGGCACGCUGACACGUAGGUGAAGUGAUUUACUCACGGAGCUGAAGUCAGUCGAAGAUACCAGCUGGCUGCAACUGUUUAUUAAAAACACAGCACUGUGCAAACACGAAAGUGGACGUAUACGGUGUGACGCCUGCCCGGUGCCGGAAGGUUAAUUGAUGGGGUCAGCGCAAGCGAAGCUCCUGAUCGAAGCCCCGGUAAACGGCGGCCGUAACUAUAACGGUCCUAAGGUAGCGAAAUUCCUUGUCGGGUAAGUUCCGACCUGCACGAAUGGCGUAAUGAUGGCCAGGCUGUCUCCACCCGAGACUCAGUGAAAUUGAACUCGCUGUGAAGAUGCAGUGUACCCGCGGCAAGACGGAAAGACCCCGUGAACCUUUACUAUAGCUUGACACUGAACAUUGAGCCUUGAUGUGUAGGAUAGGUGGGAGGCUUUGAAGUGUGGACGCCAGUCUGCAUGGAGCCGACCUUGAAAUACCACCCUUUAAUGUUU